Long non-coding RNA from Papaver somniferum (opium poppy), 2119 nucleotides. RefSeq lists it as uncharacterized. The record is from RefSeq and is a predicted model, not a curated record. The transcript is spliced from 2 exons. Lineage: Eukaryota; Viridiplantae; Streptophyta; Magnoliopsida; Ranunculales; Papaveraceae.
AUUAAUUUCCAGCAAAUGUUCUUCCAUUCCAAAUAAAUAAACAAUCCCAAGCUCCAAUAUUUUGGCUAAUCAAACUUUGGAGAUGUUCUACUACAUAAAACUCAAAAGAGAUCACGUACGGUUUUAGUGGAACAAGGACUUGAUCUCAGUUGAUCUAUCCCCUUAUGCUUAUGAAGCAGGGAUUCAAUAGUAAAUUCUUUCCUGCUAUUAUGCUCAAUUUUUGGAUAAAGGACAUAUUUUUUGAUCGAUUUGUUUUGCAGAAUUUUUGCAUGUAGAGGACAUAUUGAGAAAAGAGCUAGCGUCCAUCUCAGGCUAAUCAUUUAAACAAACACUAGAGUACCCGUCGUUUAUUGUUGUGUUUGACGGAUUUAAAUGGCCGGUCAUUGUUGUUUAGUGAUGAAAAUGUUGCGAUAGAAAUCAAAUACAUUGAUGGAUUUUUGUGAACACUUGAAUAAUGAUGCUUCCAUCAAAUUCAACUGUUGUAGUAGAGAGCUAAAAGAACGUCCCAGCCAUUUUUAGACGUUUGCGGCAACGACUGUGCAUCCUAUUGUGAAAGUAACAAUAUAAUCGAAAUUUAUUUAUACGAACGGUGUUGUUAGCAUAACUAGACACCGCAUUCGUAUACGGACGGUGUUGUUAACAUGUGUAGGCACUGAUUUCUUGCUUCUUCAUGAUUAUAAAUAUUCAUGAAACAUUUUUAAUCCCUUUGAGUUGGUGAUUCCUGAAGCUGUUCAAGCUAUGUACUUGAGUAAACUCGAAGAACAUGGGCUAUUGCCAAUCCCCCGCACUCAGAGAAAGUUUUGCUGUCAAGUUUUCGUUUUCUUAUUCUUUUCGUAAUUUGUUCUAUGUAGGAUUAGGUCAUUUUUGGAGGGAUAACUUACACUGACAUGAUGAAUUUUGUUUGGCAGAAACUAAUGUUUGCAUAUUCAUUCAGUAAUAAAUGCUGAUAAAAUUGAUUUGCAACGGGAAAGUUGGAGAUGCUCUUGAGUUUUGUCACGAAGAGUUUGCACCGAAAAGAAAAAGUUAAUAUAGUUCCUUGGCCACCUUCAGGUAGCAUGACUACAUGAUUCCCUCUUAUUGAAUUCAUCAAGCUUUUUCUUAUGUCAAUUGUGUGUGUCUCCAUUACCCGUAGCAAACCUUCUUAGAAGAAAUAAAGAGGACAGUGGCACUUUUGGCGUGUUAGAAAAAUUCUACACAUACCCUAACAUAGAACUUCUCACUCAAAUUAUUACUUUCUAUCUCUUUUGUUACCAUGUGUUGUUUUGCUAACAAAUUACAGUAAGUCUCUGAUUAGGAGCUAAUGAUAGCUCACUGAUGAUGUUGUGGGUAAUAUACUCUUGAAAAAAUUAAUUUUGAAUUGGUCGUUCUUCUUUUUUAUGCGUUACUAUAAUGAGAGGACUAUGUGGUUGCCUAUUCUGGUGAUUUUAAUUAGGCAUGUCAUGGUCAGCCUUUGCAAUGGAUUUAUCAUCUGUUUUCUUACCCGCCUAAUAAUGUUUCUAGUUGCUACCAAAUAUUUUAUUAGAAUUCUAGCAUUUAUUAGAAUUUUUGCUAUACAAUAAUGUCAAUGUAGUGCAUCUGAGAAAGUCUUCUUCCCAAAACCCCAAGGUGUUUUGUGUAGCAUUAAAAGCGAGUAUAAUAAGCUUCCUUCCCCAAAGGUAUAUGCUUUAUGGGGCUGAUUUUUGUAUCUCCUUUCCCUAUAUCACCAUUUUACAUUAGUUUUUUUUGUCAUAGGAAUUUGGAGCGGAAAUAUAAUAACUAGAGAUUGGGUUACUUAGAUAAUCUUCAGGUUAUUUAUUUUUUUAUAUAAUGAAGGUUUAUUUGUUGUCUUCUUACAUGAUUUGGAAGUGAGGCAUCUACAACCCAUUAUUUCUUCUUUCUCUGUUGUCUUCAUUUUACCUAAGUAGUUUCUGUAUUAUGAAUUGAUGUUGUGAAGCUGGACUUAAUCAAGAUGUGGAUAUUAAGUUACAUUUUUAGUGAUGAGGCUUUGCUGAGUGUGGAUUCUUAGCUCAAGUUUUCUUAACUCAAGUUAUAUAUAUAUAUCGCGGUACUAUGCAGUGUGUAUAGAAGUAAGUUAACGUGUAUUAUCCAUUGCUUCUAAUCUACUUUUCAUUAGCAUUUU